UCCGGUGACCAUAGCGGUGGGGAAACACCUGUUCCCAUCCCGAACACAGCAGUUAAGCCCACCAGCGCCGAUGGUACUGCCCUGGCAACGGGGUGGGAGAGUAGGUCAUUGCCGGGU
This 117-nucleotide ribosomal RNA is filed under the name Candidatus Dormiibacterota bacterium. The record is from RNAcentral. Lineage: Bacteria; Bacillati; Candidatus Dormiibacterota.